UACAGAGGGGGCAAGCGUUAUCCGGAAUUAUUGGGCGUAAAGAGCUCGUAGGCGGUUUGUCGCGUCUGCUGUGAAAACCCGAGGCUCAACCUCGGGCCUGCAGUGGGUACGGGCAGACUAGAGUGCGGUAGGGGAGAUUGGAAUUCCUGGUGUAGCGGUGGAAUGCGCAGAUAUCAGGAGGAACACCGAUGGCGAAGGCAGAUCUCUGGGCCGUAACUGACGCUGAGGAGCGAAAGCAUGGGGAGCGAACAGG
This 253-nucleotide ribosomal RNA is filed under the name uncultured bacterium. Its description in RNAcentral is "partial 16S ribosomal RNA". It matches the Rfam family "Bacterial small subunit ribosomal RNA", at positions 524 to 776 of the family's 1533-position model. The record is from RNAcentral.